GAAGUCUUUCAAGGAAGGGUUAAAGAGUCACGUGCCAAUUAGCUUUUCUCCCAAGGCAGCACUUAGAAUCACAGUGCUGAGAAGAAGUGGGAUAAUGAGAGGGUUGCUGGUUGUGAUAUCGCCUCCCUGGGACACUUCAGGAACGGUGACGAGACUAAUUGGCUGGUCUGGCGAACAACUCGAGAUGAGUCCAAAAGGAGGAGCCAGCUGCCGGCAGGAAGGGAAUGGAAAUUCACCUUCGCGCUGGCCCUUCAGCGGGGGGAGCACAGAUGGUGAAAAGCAGAACUGCUCGCGAGAGAGCAAAGGCCCUUUUUCUAAAUCAGCUGCCAAGAGGGGAACAAAGAGGAUUUGCCAGUGCCUCUGGGGAACAGCCUUUGCUCUCGCUUCAAGAUCAUCUAAGGAGUUUGCCCACAUCGCAAACGGUUGGAUUACCAACACCACCUCCCAGUCCACAGAAAGUGGAAAAUAGAGAAAGUGAAGAACAGCAAUCUCCUUAUUCAAAACGUGAUCUGGAAACUAGACUUGUCACUUUUUCUGACAUCUCAUUGGCCAAAACAGUCAUAUGGCCACACCUUGCAGCAAGGGAGUCUGGGAAGUGUAGUCUGUAGUUGGGCAUGUGCCUAGCCAACACUGGAGGAAUACUACUGCUGAAAAGAGGGGAAAUGCAUAGGAAGAGGCAACCUGCCCUAGUAGAUUUCUG
Molecule: long non-coding RNA, 700 nt
Filed under: Equus asinus (donkey)
Lineage: Eukaryota; Metazoa; Chordata; Mammalia; Perissodactyla; Equidae
Description: lncRNA (ENSEASG00005035954.1)
Source: RNAcentral